AGAAGAGCUUCAAGGAAUAUGGUCUUUGAAUUGAACCCAACAAUGGUGGUGCUGCUGCCGUGCCGUCAGACCGGAGAGGCGGGGAACCCUCAUCUGUCCUGUCUCCACGGAAACCCUCGCCUAGGUGUCUGUCUGUCUGUUGUCAGGGCAACAGGGCAGAGAGGGUAACGCCGGAGAGGAAAAUACCGAUGAAGGCAAGGAGGCGAUGUGGAGACAACAAAGACAGGCGGGGCAGCAGACGUGGUGUCAGCUGAGACCUCCGUGAAUAAGGAUGCUCGCUGCCACCGGAGCCUCUGCAGACAUUAACUCGAUACUCCAGAUGCAGAAAUUCUAUUUCUGGACAAUCAAGCUGCAUCAAGAGGACAAUAACAGCUUCAAAAUUCAACCUGCUGGACUGAUCUGGACUCAAACAUGGCCAACGAAGACUUGGUUGUUGGGAAAUAAGGAAAUAUGUUUCAGUGAAAAUGUUGCACCAAUAGUAUUUAACAACCACUCAUGCUGAACC
Amphiprion ocellaris (clown anemonefish) is the source of this 505-nucleotide long non-coding RNA. The record is from Ensembl. NCBI's taxonomy places the organism in Eukaryota, Metazoa, Chordata, Actinopteri, Pomacentridae.